AUGGCUUCCCCUCGCCAUCGCCAGGACGGAGACGGACCACACGACGGCGCGCCGACGUACGCCGGCAUGGCGAAGCUGGUGCCGGCGCUCCCGCUCGAGACGCGGUGCCCGCCGUUCGCGCUGCGGCGCUACGGCGGCUUCUGGCUGCCGGAGGCGGCCCUGCGGCGCGGCCUCCCGGCGUUGCACGCCGGGUUCGCGCCCAGGCGCGCAGACGUGCUCCUCGCCAGCUACCCCAAGUCCGGCACCACCUGGCUCAAGGCCCUCGCCUUCGCCACCGUCCGCCGCGCCGUGCACCCGCCUUCUUCCAUCGACCACCCGCUCCGCCGUCGCAACCCGCAGGACUGCGUCCCGUUCCUCGAGUUCGACUUCGACCACGGGGACAUGGCCGAGCUCGAGGCGCUCCCUUCCCCGCGGGUGCUCGCCACGCACCUCCCCUACUCGCUCCUCCCCGACCGCGUCGUCGCCGACGACGGCGCGCGGAUCGUGUACGUCUGCCGGGACCCCAAGGACGCGCUGGUCUCCUCGUGGCUCUUCACCAGGAAAGCGUCGCCGAGUGUCGGAGUGGACUCCGACUCCUACUCGCUGCAGGAGGCGGCCGAGCUUUUCCGCGAGGGCCGGUGCUUCUACGGCCCUCAGUGCCGGCACGUGCUCGAGUACUGGGACGCGAGCCGCCGUCCCUUCGGCGGCGGCGAGGUGCUGUUCCUGAGGUACGAGGAGAUGCUGCGCGACCCGGCGGGGAGUCUGAAGACGAUGGCGGAGUUCAUGGGAUGCGGCUUCUCCGAGGAGGAGGUGGCGCGAGGGGUGGUGGACGAGAUCGUGGACCUGUGCAGCCUGGAGAAGCUGAAGAACAUGGAGGCCAACAGGGACGGGCGGCGGAACGCGUCGGGCAUCAGGAGCGACUCUUUCUUCCGGAAGGGGGUCGCCGGGGACUGGAGCAGCCACAUGUCGCCGGAGAUGGGGAAGAUGCUGGACGAGGCCGUCGAGGAGGCACUCCAGGGGUCUGGGUUCAGCUUCUCUGGCUGA
RNAcentral lists this ribosomal RNA (1023 nucleotides) under Triticum aestivum (bread wheat). Its description in RNAcentral is "partial small subunit ribosomal RNA". Lineage: Eukaryota; Viridiplantae; Streptophyta; Magnoliopsida; Poales; Poaceae. The record is from RNAcentral.